Molecule: ribosomal RNA, 422 nt
Filed under: uncultured bacterium
Lineage: Bacteria
Description: bacterial SSU rRNA
Rfam family: Bacterial small subunit ribosomal RNA
Source: RNAcentral
AGAGUUUGAUCCUGGCUCAGGACGAACGCUGGCGGCGUGCUUCACACAUGCAAGUCGAACGGAUCACUCCCAUGGUGUGGCGGACGGGUGAGGAAUACAUCGGGACCUGCCCAGACGUGGGGGAUAACGUAGGGAAACUUACGCUAAUACCGCAUACGUCCUACGGGAGAAAGCGGGGGAUCUUCGGACCUCGCGCGGUUGGAUGGACCGAUGUUCGAUUAGCUAGUUGGUGGGGUAAUGGCCUACCAAGGCGACGAUCGAUAGCUGGUCUGAGAGGAUGAUCAGCCACACUGGGACUGAGACACGGCCCAGACUCCUACGGGAGGCAGCUAGUGGGGAAUAUUGGACAAUGGGCGCAAGCCUGAUCCAGCAAUGCCGCGUGUGUGAAGAAGGCCUUCGGGUUGUAAAGCACUUUUAUCAGG